GUAAAAGAUUGAAAAGAAUGCAUUGGAUGGAUGCUCGGGCAUUGAGAAGGAAGGACGCUUUUAGAGGCGAAAGGCCAUGGGGAGAUAUCGUCUGUGAACCAUGGAUCUCCGAUCGGGAAAUCAUAUCCAAGCUCCAUGGCUAGUCUGCGCUCUUUGAACUUUUCAAACUUAGUGAACUGAAACAUCUUGGUAGCUAAAGGAAGGAAAAUCAACUAGGACCCCCUAAGUAGCGGCGAGCGAGAGCGGAUUGGGGGUUUGAAGAAAAACAAACAUGAAGCUUUGUUCCUCUCCUUUUAGGUGAGCUACUUCAUUCCUCAGCAAAGUGUUCACUUCUUUUUCGCCAGGUUUCAUUCAAUUUGUUGUGGAUUAGAUGAUGGAAACACCAGCAAGCUAUGGCUUCAAAGCUUGCCUUAUUUAGAAAAGGAGAAAGCAUUUUUUUAUAGAUGUUGAGGUUGAGUAAGGGGGCAGAGCUUAAAGAGCGAAGCGAGCCACGCUAGCCUAGCAACAUUUUUCAGCAGCAAGCUACGGUCUAAUGACCCCCUAACCUAGCUUGGGGCGAGAACUCCGAAAUCCAAAAUGUCGGUUAGGGUUCCUCUCCUUGCGAGCUACUUCGUUCCAAACAUUUCUCUAAUCAUAAGGUAAGCUUUCAAGCCACCGCCCUUUAAAGGAGCGGGCGCAGUGAACUGUAAUUGUGAAAAGAUUGGAAUAUCUGGCCAAAGAAGGUGAUCACCCUGUAGAUUCGUUCCCAUGGUUCGAUCCUUCCCAGCAAAACACGGUGUGUUCCAAUUCUGAUUGCUUUUACGUGAGAAAGAGGGAACACCCUCUAAGCCUAAGUAUUCCUCAAUGAUCGAUAGCAUACAAGUAUCGUGAGGGAAAGGUGAAAAGAACCCUAUUUAGGGAGUGCAAUAUAGAACCUGAGAUUCGAUGCGAACAAUCAGUCGAAGGAGUGGAGCUUAGAGCCUUCACUUUAUGUAAAGCGUACUCACUCUAAUGGCGUACCUUUUGCAUGAUGGGUCAGCGAGGAAAUGGGAACAGCGGAUUAAGCCAUUAGGUGUAGGCGCUUUCCAGAGGUGGAAUCUUCUAGUUCUUCCUAUUUAACCCAACACUGAUUGAUCUAGCCAUGAGCAGGUUGAAGAGAGCUCUAACAGGCCUUGGAGGAUCGAACCCACGUAUGUAGCAAAAUACAGGGAUGACUUGUGGCUAGGGGUGAAAGGCUAACCAAAAUCGAAUAUAGCUGGUUUUCCAUGAAAUAUAUUUCAGUAAAGCGUAUGAUGUCAAUGGCCCGAGGUAGAUCACUCAAUGGGCUAGGGUGGCCUCAUUUCACCUUACCAACCCCAGGGAAACUCCGAAUACAGGCCUAGAUCAUUUGUACAGACAGACUUUUUGGGUACUAAGAUCCAAAGUCAUGAGGGAAAUAGCCCAGAUCGUAUGCUAAGGUCCCUAAGCAAUCACUCAGUGGAAAAGAAAGUGAUCGAGCGAUGAAAACCAGGAGGUGGGAUUGGAAGCAGCCAUCCUUUGAAGAAAGUGUAAUAGCUCACUGGUCGAGCUCCAUGGCACCGAAAAUGUAUCAGGGCUCAAGUGAUUCAUCGAAGCGACGAGACCUUGAAAGCUUCUUUUUCAAGUGUCAGUAGCGGAACGUUCUGUCAAUCAGGGAGUGUUUUUGGUAACAAGACCUGGAGAUAUCAGAAGUGGGAAUACUGACAUUAGUAAUGAAAAAUCCUAUGAAAAACACGAUCGCCUGCUAGUGGAAGGUUUUCUGCAUUCAGUCAAUCUACGCAGAGUGAAUCGAUCCUUAAGGAACCCCCGAAAGGGACUAGUCCGAUGGGUACACAAAAGUGACGAAGUUGCUUUGACUACAAAACCAUGCCUGUCUGUUGGAGCGAAUUGGAUGAUCGGGCUGAGGGUUACCGCCUCUUCUCCUCACUCUCCUUUCCCUAAUAUGAACCUUGAGUCAUCAAAGCCUGCCUGGCUCGGUCGCCCUAUGCGAAUGGCGCUUGAAAAGGUGAAACUCUAGAUGUAGUUUGGUGACCUAUCUUCAGUAGGGGCCUUUAGUCUUUUGAUUAGAGUAGGGGUUGCGAGAGAGCAGAGCGUACCGCCCUAUUAUUGUCACGAGUCUGUUUAUAGUCUCCACUGUUGUCAUAGUUAAUAAGGUUGAAACUUCCAGGAAAAAACUUUGAAUUGGGAGGGCGAUCCUCCCGGUGAACUGACCGUACCCCAAACCGACAUAGGUGAACAAGUAGAGUAUACUAUGGCGCUUGAGAGAACCAUGUCGAAGGAACUUGGCAAAAUGACCCCAUAACUUUGGGAGAAGGGGUGCUCUCCUAUCUUUUGAUUAGGAAAGCGGCACAUACCAGGGGGUAGUGACUGUUUAUUAAAAACACAAGACUCUGCUAAGUGGUAACAUGAUGUAUAGAGUCAGACACCUGCAAAGUGCUGGAAGGUCGGAAGGAGAAGUGUUAUAAGAUUUUAAUGGAAGCUCCGGUAAAUGGCGACAGUAACUCUAACUGUCCUAAGGUAGCAAAAUUCCUUGUCACAUAAGUAACGACCUGGACGAAUGGUGUAACGACUACCCCGCUGUCUCCGACAUGGACUCGGUGAAAUUGAAUUCUUCGUGAAGAUGUGGAGUACCAACGGCUAGACGGUAAGACCCCAUGCACCUUAACUAUAUCUUCGCAGUGACAACCUUAAUCAAAUGUGUAGGAUAGGUGGGAGGUGGUGACACACAACGACCAAUCCUGAAAGACCACUCUUUUAUCCAAGGAUGCCUAACCGCCACACCAAUCAUUUGAGGGGAGGCGGUACACUGCGAGGUGGGUAGUUUAUCUGGGGCGGAUGCCUCCUAAAGAGUAAUGGAGUUGUACGAAGGUAGGCUCAAGCUAAGAUUCUGCUCGUGACCAUAAUGGUAUAACCCUGCCUCACUGUGAGACCGACUAGUUGAACAGAGACGAAAGUCAGCCAUAGUGAUCUAGGAGUCCUGUGUGGAAGGGCUCUCGCUCAACGGAUCAAAGGUACGCCGGGGAUAACAGGCUGAUGACUCCCAAGAGCUCUUAUCGACGGAGUCGUUUGGCACCUUGAUGUCGACUCAUCACAUCCUGUGGUUGAAGAAGGUCCAAAGGGUUCGGUUGUUCAUCAAUUCAAGUGGUACGUGAGUUGGGUUUAGAACAUUGUGAGACAGUUUAGUUCCUAUCUACCGUUGGUGUUAAAGAGAGAACUGCGAGGAGCCAACCCUAGUACGAGAGGAAUGGGUUGGGUUAGCCUAUGGUGUACCGGUUGUUAUGCCAAUAGCAGCGCCGGGCAGCUAAGUUGGUAUGGAAGAAAUGUUGUGCCAUGGGAAAUCCCUCUCUAUACAAAUUCUCAAAUGAGAUUUUUGAACAGAACUUCAAUAGGCGAGAGGUGUAAGCACUUCAAGGUGUGAAGCGAUCUCGUACUAAAUGAAAUGACUUUCACUU
Non-coding RNA from Capsicum annuum, 3449 nucleotides. NCBI's taxonomy places the organism in Eukaryota, Viridiplantae, Streptophyta, Magnoliopsida, Solanales, Solanaceae. The record is from Rfam.